Molecule: long non-coding RNA, 625 nt
Organism: Pan troglodytes (chimpanzee)
Lineage: Eukaryota; Metazoa; Chordata; Mammalia; Primates; Hominidae
Exons: 3
Source: RefSeq, a predicted model, not a curated record
GAGUCAUAGGCAUCAGGGAAGGCUUUUCGUAGGAGUAGAUGUCUAUACCAAACCCUGAAGAAUGAAUAGAAAUAAGCUGUUAGAGAAGUUGGCGGAAAGUAGGGAGAUAAAGAGAAUAAGAAUAUUUACCAGGAAAACAAAAUAGAGAGCACCAAACCCCAGAGGAAAGAGACAGCAUGGAGUGUGGCUGGAGCAGAAAAUGAAGAUCAUUCUGGUGUGGAAAUUGGUUUGGUUGGGGAUCAAGCCUGGAGCACUGGAAACAAAUUAGGAUACUAAAUCAGUUCUCAGAAUCGAAGUUGAAUGUCCUAACAAUAGGAAGAGAUUGAUUGGAGGCAGAUUAAGGAGAUGGAACCCGUAAAAGACAUAGUACUUCCAGGUAAACAUUAAACAAUGGUAUGGAUAUCAGAAAAUGACACUACUGUAGAAACAAGCAGCCAAGCAUAAUAUUGGUGAAGACAGGCUUUAUUGUUGGACAAACUGGCUUUGGAAUAAUAUGACGGAUCACACUUGCUUGUCACGUAAUCUUGGGAUAAAAUUAUGUAAAUUAUUUGAUCUUCAGUUUCCUCAUCCAUAAAAUGGGAAUAAUAACAUGAACUGUUCAUAGUUGCAUUCAUAGUGGAAUUUA